ACGAACGCUGGCGGCAUGCCUCACACAUGCACGUCGAACGAGACCUUCGGGUCUAGUGGCGCACGGGUGCGUAACGCGUGGGAACCUGCCCUUAGGUUCGGAAUAACUCCCCGAAAGGGGUGCUAAUACCGGAUAAUGUCUUCGGACCAAAGAUUUAUCGCCUUUGGAUGGGCCCGCGUUGGAUUAGCUAGUUGGUAGGGUAAAAGCCUACCAAGGCGACGAUCCAUAGCUGGUCUGAGAGGAUGAUCAGCCACACUGGGACUGAGACACGGCCCAGACUCCUACGGGAGGCAGCAGUGGGGAGUAUUGGACAAUGGGCGAAAGCCUGAUCCAGCAAUGCCGCGUGAGUGAUGAAGGCCUUAGGGUUGUAAAGCUCUUUUACCCGGGAUGAUAAUGACAGUACCGGGAGAAUAAGCUCCGGCUAACUCCGUG
Molecule: ribosomal RNA, 432 nt
Filed under: uncultured bacterium
Lineage: Bacteria
Description: partial 16S ribosomal RNA
Rfam family: Bacterial small subunit ribosomal RNA
Source: RNAcentral